CGCGCCCAACUCACUACCGUGGCGAUGGAGGAGGCCCGGAUCGACGUCGCGUCGCUGCGGGACACGGUGCAGCGGCUCGAGGCCAGCGUCGUCGUCGUCGCCGCCGCCAAGCCAAGGGGCCGCUUCGACCGUGACCUGCAGCGGGUCAGCGGCGAGCUGCGGGUGGCGCUGGCCGCUGAGGAGAAGAACAAGCGGGCCAUGGAGAAGUUGGUGCUGGCGCUCAAGGAGGUGAACGCGGAGCUGCACACCACGCGGCAGCAGCUGGCGCACGCGCAGCACGAGUCGGAGACGGCGAGGCUGGAGUCGGACCGGCUGCACGUGUCCCUGAAGCUCAAGGACGACAAGGUCCGCGCGCUAUCCGACGAUGUGGCCCGCCUCCGCUCCGACGCCGAGGAGGCGUUCGCCGCGUUCCGGGGCAAGGAGGUCGGGUUCACGGCGUGCAUGAAGUCGUCGGAGGCGGAGCUCGCCGCGUCCCGGCGCGAGAACGCGCGGCUCCUCGAGUCGCAGCGGUCCGGGCGGCACGAGGUGGCCAAGCUGAAGCAGGCCGUCAAGGACACCAAGUUCGACAAGGAGGCGCUGGAGGAGGCGAGGAGCGAGAACGCCAUGCUCAAGGAGAUGGUCGGGAGCAAGGACACCACCGUCAAGUGCAACAAGGAGGAGCUGGAGUGCCUCCGGGUGAGCGAGGCCGCGGCGCGCGACAGCGUCAAGGAGCUGCAAAGCCUGCUGGUGGCCACGUCGGUGAGCCCCACCCCCACGCCGUCCGCGGUGGCGGGAGCGGGAAGGUCGUUCGACCUGGAGGACCUAUCGUCGCCGUCGCCGCGGACGCCGACGGACGGGAUCGACGGGAUCGCACUAGAGUAG
This 861-nucleotide ribosomal RNA is filed under the name Triticum aestivum (bread wheat). RNAcentral's name for it is "partial small subunit ribosomal RNA". Lineage: Eukaryota; Viridiplantae; Streptophyta; Magnoliopsida; Poales; Poaceae. The record is from RNAcentral.